GGGCCGGUAGCUCAGUUUGGGAGAGCGCUGGCUUCGCAAGCCAGAGGCCGCGGGUUCAAAUCCCGCCCGGUCCACCA
RNAcentral lists this transfer RNA (77 nucleotides) under Thermococcus sp. Its description in RNAcentral is "tRNA-Ala". It matches the Rfam family "tRNA". Rfam says of the family: Transfer RNA (tRNA) molecules are approximately 80 nucleotides in length. RNAcentral also lists the same sequence under 8 other names. The record is from RNAcentral. Lineage: Archaea; Methanobacteriati; Methanobacteriota; Thermococci; Thermococcales; Thermococcaceae.